CCUGAAACAUGUUGUGAUUUUUCAUGUUCAAUGUUUAAAUGUCUGUCUUAUUUGAAAAUGGGUUAGGAUUAGUAUUUUAUUAUUAAUAAAUGAUAAAACAUCAAUAGUGAUUCAUGUGUGAAUAUCUUUAAAAAGAUUAUAUUUGUUUAAAUAAGAUAAACGUCAAAUACUGAAUACGGAAAUUCAUAAAUACAAUUGAA
Molecule: microRNA precursor, 200 nt
Filed under: Oryza brachyantha (malo sina)
Lineage: Eukaryota; Viridiplantae; Streptophyta; Magnoliopsida; Poales; Poaceae
Description: MIR812 microRNA precursor family
Rfam family: MIR812 microRNA precursor family
Source: Rfam by way of RNAcentral